RNAcentral lists this long non-coding RNA (1189 nucleotides) under Homo sapiens (human). Its description in RNAcentral is "SNAP25 antisense RNA 1". The record is from RNAcentral. Lineage: Eukaryota; Metazoa; Chordata; Mammalia; Primates; Hominidae.
GCAGUUGACGUGGAGCAGGCGGCAUAAAUCAAGUCCGCGGGGCAUGGAGGCUGCUGUCGCUGCAGCAGCUCAGCUUGCCCGGGGCGGGAACUCCCCCUUUCUCCUUUCGCCUCCCCAGCACCCACACCCUGUCUCCCCCUUAAUUCUUCCCUGGAUAAUAGCACCCUAACGACAACAGUCAUAAUAAUAGGGUUAGAACGACAGGGGAGGAAAACUCAACAGCCUAAAUAUCUCUGAAAACUGCAUCGCAAAAUGGAAGAAAGAGGGGGUCCCACUACUGUUUCAAAAGAGUAAGUUAUUAUUCGGAGCCAUGGAAGUCAAAUGCUGAGGAUGGUGGCAUCAUAGGAUGAAUGGAGCUGGGUUCUUGAAACACUGCCUGGAGGAAAGACAGCAAAAAUGCCUCAUGAAUCCAACUGGACUGUUAGCUCAUCUUUACCCUUCAAAUCUCAACUCAAAUGUCCUUCCUCUGAGAGGCCUUCUCUGCCUGCCCUCCCAUGUAAAGAAACCAGCUCCAUUUCUGGGAUGCUCACCCUUGGAGACCAGCAACAAUGUGUGCAGAAACCCAGGCCAUGUGGAGAGGCCCCACAUACGUGUCCAACUGAGGUCCCAGCUGACAGCUGGCAUUGACAUGUGAGUGAGACUCUGAACGUUCCAGCUGAUGACAAGUACAGUUUGAGCGAGCUAUCCCUGUUGGGCCUGUCAAAACUGCAGAUUUCAUGAAGAAAAUAAGUGUUGUUGACUUAAGCCAGUAAGUUUUGACAUACUAUGUUACACAGCCAUAGUAGCUGGAAGAGUGUGAAACAAAUACUAUUCUCUUGUGUCUCAUUUCUCUAUAAAGUAUAUCUUCCCCCUUCCUUGCAUAGGGAUUCUUUCUCCUUUUCUCUCAGACAGUUCUGCUAUUAUCCCUGCUAGUGAUGCUAUUACUACUUCAAAUACUAUUGUUUUUAUAUCUGUUGCUACUACUGAAAAUAAGAUAAUUUUAUAACUAAUGUUGAGUAUGCAUCUACUAUAUAGAUUUACAUCCUUAACAUGUAUUAAAUCACGUAAUUCUUACAUCAAAAGCAUGGAAUUGUAUCACCCCAAGAUUCAUAUGUUGAAGUCCUCACCUUUAGUAUUCACAAUGUGACCUGUUUGGAGAUAUGGUCUUUAAAGAUGUGAAAUGAAGCCAUUAAAGUAGUCCUUAAUCCAA